Mustela lutreola (European mink) is the source of this 2287-nucleotide long non-coding RNA. RefSeq lists it as uncharacterized. NCBI's taxonomy places the organism in Eukaryota, Metazoa, Chordata, Mammalia, Carnivora, Mustelidae. The record is from RefSeq and is a predicted model, not a curated record. The transcript has 2 exons.
UCUCUGUCGGCGGAAGUGAUGGGUUGUCUGAGGUAUCGCUGUCCAUGCCAGUAGGUGGGCUUCAUGAAGGUUCUCAGGAAGCUUUCGUGCUCGAAACCUUUGGGAACAUUCACCCUACAGCAGAAUGCCUCCCGCUCGUUCUUGGCUUCAGGCGCUGGGAAAGCAACAACCAUGCCGGCCCCUCUCUCGGGGGGGAAUUUUUUUUUUUUUAAGAUUAUAUAUAUUUGUCAGAUCACAAGUAGGCAGAGCAGCAGGCUGAGAGAGGGGGAAGCAGGCUCCCUGCUGAACAGAGAGCCCAGUGCGGGACUUGAUCCCAGGACCCUGAGAUCAUCACCGGAUCAGAGGCUUAAUCCACUGAGCCACCCAGGUGCCCCUCUGGGGGGCUCCCCCCUGCCCACAUUUUAGUUGCCACCUUGUCUCUCACCAGACAAGGGGAGGGUUGCUGGUGUGAGGAACAGUCUUUCUGGCCUGAAACAAAGCAGUGCCACCCACUAAACUUCGUCUAGUUUCUAUCCAGCAGUGUAGAGGGCUCAAAUGAAACAGGGCCCCGAAUCUAGAACCAAGUUCACAGAUCAUCCCCCCCCCCCCACCUGGAAGCUGUGCCUAGGCCUGUUGGGACCUUUUUCACAGACCCACAGAGUUUGCUGCCACUCGGGUGAGGUUACUGAGAGAAGAGCCGAGGCCCCAAGGCUCUGUUCUAGUCUCACAUUUGAGGUUGGGGGCUUUCUAACUACCCAUGCCCAGACUGAUGAAAGCAGACCCUUGGGGAGGUCAGGUUGGAGCCUCCUUGUUUCAAAAGCUCCUCUUGUGGGUCACCUGGGUGGUUUAGUGGGUUAAGCAUCCAACUCUUUUUUAAAAAUUUAUUUACUUAUUUGAGAGAGAGAGAGCAUGAAGGGGUGUGGUCAGAGCGAGAGCAGACCUGCAGGUGUUGACGGAGCAGUUCAAAAGCAACCUGGCCACUUCCCCUUUGCUGGGGUGAGAUUCUAGAAUAGAGAGAGAAAAGCCAUAUCGGUGCCAGCUGUGACUCCAUUUCCCUUCACGUCUAACUCCCCCUCCCCCACACCUUUUUUCUUUUAAAACCUGCUUACUCUUGGGAGUCUUUUGUUCUAUUUUUUUAACUUAGCUUUUUGAGGUCAUUGUAGAUUCACAUGCAACUUAAGAAAAAAUGCAAAUUGAUUCCUCUGUAUACCUUACCCAGUUUCUCCCAAUGGUAACCUCUUAAACAAUUAUUGCACAGUAUCAUAGCCAGGAUAUUGACACUGUUACAGUCAGAAUACCAAACCGUUCCAUCACAACAACUUCCCCUUCCCACCACACCCCCCUGCCCUGGCAACCACUGAUCCAUUCUCCCGUUUUCAUAAUUUUAUAAUUUUGUUACUUCAGGAAUGUUAUCCAUAGAAUUAUUACAAUAGGUAAUUUAGGGGCAUUGGCUUUUUUUAUGCAACAUAAUUUAUUGAAGUGUUGCAUGUCUGAAUAGUUCUUUAUUGCUGGGUAGAUUCCACAAUAUGUAUAUAUCACGGUUUGUUUAAACAUUCACCCAUUUUGAGACCUCUGGAUUGUUCCAGUUUGCACUACUGUGAAUAAAGUUGCUACGAACAUUUGUGUGUAGGUUUUUGGGUGACCAUACGUUUUCAUUUCUUUGGGACAAAUGCCCAAGAGUACAAUGUUUUGGUUGCAUGUUUAGUUUCUCAGGAAACUGUCAAACUGUUUUCCGGGGUGGCUGUACGGUGUUUUGUUCCCACCAGCAGUGUACGAGCAAUCCAGUGUCUUCACACAUUCUUGCCUACUUUUGAUAUAUCCCUGUUAUUUUUUUAUUUUUAUUUUUUAGUCAUUCUGAUAGGUGUAAAGUGAUGCCCCACUGUGGUUUUAAUGUGCAUUUCUCUACUGGUUAAUGAAACUGGACAUCCUCUCAUGUGUCUCUUUGCCAUCUGUAGGAGACACCCGUGUUUUGAUUGUUCCUGGAACCACUCACUUUCUCUCAGGAUCUGUGGAAGAGGAAGACUCUUCGGAACAGUGGGAAAAAAUUAGUCCUGGGAAUCCAAAGAUGUGAAUCUUCAUUUCCACUCCAUUAAAAGUGACCCCGAGUAAAUUCUGUCAUUUCUUUAGGCCUGAAUUUCUUCGUCUGUAAAAUGAAGUGAUUUGAACUGUAUUUUCCAAAUUGAAUAUUCUACCACUCCAUGACUCAAUUCGAAUGAAUAUCCAGUUAUAAACAUCGAUUGAUAAAGCUACAUUUCCUACCCUCACUUAGUAUCUGUUUCCAAAUAAAAAUAAUCUUACAGAAUCAUAA